UGUAAAGUUCUCAAUGUUUGUCUUUAUGACAAACACCAAAAUAACACAUUCAAGUGUUCUUGGAAUUUGAGUCCGGCAAAAUCGAGUCUGCAUCAUGUAUAAAAAUUGCAGACAACUUUGGUGACUUGUUCAUCAACUAGCACGUAUCCUUACCUGAAUACAUAGGKUAAKGAGGCGAACCGGGGGAACUGAAACAUCUAAGUACCCCGAGGAAAAGAAAUCAACCGAGAUUCCGAAAGUAGCGGCGAGCGAAAUUGGACUAGCCCUUAAGCUUUACACGCGUUAGACGAACGGUCUGGAAAGUCCGACGAUACAGGGUGAUAGUCCCGUAGUUGACGACGUGUGUUCAGUGAAAUCGAGUAGGGCGGGACACGUGAUAUCCUGUCUGAAUAUGGGGGGACCAUCCUCCAAGGCUAAAUACUACUGACUGACCGAUAGUGAACCAGUACCGUGAGGGAAAGGCGAAAAGAACCCCUGUGAGGGGAGUGAAAUAGAACCUGAAACCGUGUACGUACAAGCAGUAGGAGCAGGCUUGUCCUGUGACUGCGUACCUUUUGUAUAAUGGGUCAGCGACUUAUAUUCAGUGGCAAGGUUAACCAUCUAGGGGAGCCGUAGGGAAACCGAGUCUUAACUGGGCGUUCAGUCUCUGGAUAUAGACCCGAAACCAGGUGAUCUAGCCAUGGGCAGGUUGAAGGUUGAGUAACAUCAACUGGAGGACCGAACCGACUAAUGUUGAAAAAUUAGCGGAUGACUUGUGGCUAGGGGUGAAAGGCCAAUCAAACCUGGAGAUAGCUGGUUCUCCCCGAAAGCUAUUUAGGUAGCGCCUCGGACGAAUACUACUGGGGGUAGAGCACUGUUAAGGCUAGGGGGUCAUCCCGACUUACCAACCCUUUGCAAACUCCGAAUACCAGUAAGUACUAUCCGGGAGACACACGGCGGGUGCUAACGUCCGUCGUGGAGAGGGAAACAACCCAGACCGCCAGCUAAGGUCCCAAAUUACUACUAAGUGGGAAACGAUGUGGGAAGGCUCAGACAGCCAGGAUGUUGGCUUAGAAGCAGCCAUCAUUUAAAGAAAGCGUAAUAGCUCACUGGUCGAGUCGGCCUGCGCGGAAGAUGUAACGGGGCUAAGUAGUAAACCGAAGCUGCGGCAAURURCUUUUGYAYAUUGGGUAGGGGAGCGUUCUGUAAGCGGUUGAAGGUGUGUGGUAACGCAUGCUGGACGUAUCAGAAGUGCGAAUGCUGACAUGAGUAACGAUAAAGGGGGUGAAAAACCUCCUCGCCGGAAGACCAAGGGUUCCUGUCCAACGUUAAUCGGGGCAGGGUAAGUCGACCCCUAAGGCGAGGCCGAAAGGCGUAGUCGAUGGGAAACGGGUUAAUAUUCCCGUACUUCUUACAAUUGCGAUGGGGGGACGGAGAAGGCUAGGUGGGCCUGGCGACGGUUGUCCAGGUUCAAGUGCGUAGGCUUAAGAGUUAGGUAAAUCCGGCUCUUUUUAAGGCUGAGACACGACGUCGAGCUACUACGGUAGUGAAGUCAUUGAUGCCAUGCUUCCAGGAAAAGCCUCUAAGCUUCAGAUUGUAAGGAAUCGUACCCCAAACCGACACAGGUGGUCGGGUAGAGAAUACCAAGGCGCUUGAGAGAACUCGGGUGAAGGAACUAGGCAAAAUGGUACCGUAACUUCGGGAGAAGGUACGCUCUYGAYGGUGAAGUCCCUCGCGGAUGGAGCURWYGAGAGUCGCAGAUACCAGGUGGCUGCAACUGUUUAUUAAAAACACAGCACUGUGCAAAAUCGUAAGAUGACGUAUACGGUGUGACGCCUGCCCGGUGCCGGAAGGUUAAUUGAUGGGGUUAGACUUCGGUCGAAGCUCUUGAUCGAAGCCCCGGUAAACGGCGGCCGUAACUAUAACGGUCCUAAGGUAGCGAAAUUCCUUGUCGGGUAAGUUCCGACCUGCACGAAUGGCGUAAUGAUGGCCACGCUGUCUCCACCCGAGACUCAGUGAAAUUGAAAUCGCUGUGAAGAUGCAGUGUACCCGCGGCUAGACGGAAAGACCCCGUGAACCUUUACUACAGCUUGGCACUGAACAUUGACCCUACAUGUGUAGGAUAGGUGGGAGGCUUUGAAGCACGUACGCCAGUAUGUGUGGAGCCGUCCUUGAAAUACCACCCUUGUAGUGUUGAUGUUCUAACGUCGACCCCUUAUCGGGGUUGCGGACAGUGCCUGGUGGGUAGUUUGACUGGGGCGGUCUCCUCCCAAAGAGUAACGGAGGAGCACGAAGGUGGGCUAAUCACGGUUGGACAUCGUGAGGUUAGUGCAAUGGCAUAAGCCCGCUUGACUGCGAGAAUGACAAUUCGAGCAGGUGCGAAAGCAGGUCAUAGUGAUCCGGUGGUUCUGAAUGGAAGGGCCAUCGCUCAACGGAUAAAAGGUACUCCGGGGAUAACAGGCUGAUACCGCCCAAGAGUUCAUAUCGACGGCGGUGUUUGGCACCUCGAUGUCGGCUCAUCACAUCCUGGGGCUGAAGUCGGUCCCAAGGGUAUGGCUGUUCGCCAUUUAAAGUGGUACGCGAGCUGGGUUUAGAACGUCGUGAGACAGUUCGGUCCCUAUCUGCCGUGGGCGUUGGAAGAUUGAAGGGGGCUGCUCCUAGUACGAGAGGACCGGAGUGGACGAACCUCUGGUGUUCGGGUUGUGUCGCCAGACGCAUUGCCCGGUAGCUAAGUUCGGAAUCGAUAACCGCUGAAAGCAUCUAAGCGGGAAGCGAGCCCUGAGAUGAGUCUUCCCUGAUACUUUAAGUAUCCUAAAGGGUUGUCGGAGACUACGACGUUGAUAGGUCAGGUGUGUAAGUGCUGUGAGGCAUUGAGCUAACUGAUACUAAUUGCCCGUGAGGCUUAACCAU
This 2889-nucleotide ribosomal RNA is filed under the name Vibrio parahaemolyticus. RNAcentral's name for it is "bacterial LSU rRNA". Lineage: Bacteria; Pseudomonadati; Pseudomonadota; Gammaproteobacteria; Vibrionales; Vibrionaceae. The record is from RNAcentral.